RNAcentral lists this ribosomal RNA (256 nucleotides) under uncultured bacterium. Its description in RNAcentral is "partial 16S ribosomal RNA". It matches the Rfam family "Bacterial small subunit ribosomal RNA", at positions 524 to 776 of the family's 1533-position model. The record is from RNAcentral.
UACGAAGGGGGCGAGCGUUUGUUCGGAAUCACUGGGCGUAAAGCGCGCGUAGGCGGCUUUGUAAGUUAGAGGUGAAAGCCCGGAGCUCAACUCCGGAACUGCCUUUAAAACUGCAUCGCUUGAAUCCAGGAGAGGUGAGUGGAAUUCCGAGUGUAGAGGUGAAAUUCGUAGAUAUUCGGAAGAACACCAGUGGCGAAGGCGGCUCACUGGACUGGUAUUGACGCUGAGGUGGCGAAAAGCGUGGGGAGCAAACAGG